GGUGAAUCAUCGAAUCUUUGAACGCACAUUGCGCCCCCUGGUAUUCCGGGGGGCAUGCCUGUCCGAGCGUCAUUGCUGCCCUCAAGCACGGCUUGUGUGUUGGGCUUCGCCCCCCGUUCUUCGGGGGGCGGGCCCGAAAGGCAGCGGCGGCACCGCGUCCGGUCCUCGAGCGUAUGGGGCUUUGUCACCCGCUCUGUAGGCCCGGCCGGCGCCCGCCGGCGACCCCAAAUCAAUCUAUCCAGGUUGACCUCGGAUCAGGUAGGGAUACCCGCUGAACUUAAGCAUAUCAAUAAGCGGAGG
RNAcentral lists this unclassified non-coding RNA (300 nucleotides) under uncultured Penicillium. RNAcentral's name for it is "sequence contains 5.8S rRNA gene, ITS2". The stretch from base 1 to 72 matches the Rfam family "5.8S ribosomal RNA", at positions 83 to 154 of the family's 154-position model. Lineage: Eukaryota; Fungi; Ascomycota; Eurotiomycetes; Eurotiales; Aspergillaceae. The record is from RNAcentral.